Bombus terrestris (buff-tailed bumblebee) is the source of this 624-nucleotide long non-coding RNA. RefSeq lists it as uncharacterized. The record is from RefSeq and is a predicted model, not a curated record. Lineage: Eukaryota; Metazoa; Arthropoda; Insecta; Hymenoptera; Apidae. The transcript is spliced from 3 exons.
UGUCCUUAGUCCACACCGAUAGCUUUCGCCAGACACCUAUAUGCGCCCACAGCACUCAAAAGGUUGUUCGCGAACGAAAGGGAAUCGUCUCGAGAAAGAAAAAUCGCUUAUAAGUAUUUGAGCACAUCGAAUUUUCAACGGUCGUGAGAAUUUGCCUAAAUCAAGAUGAGAAGCCCGAAUGUGAAUGUGAAGGCAAACUAUGGCGAGCUUCAAACCGUCAUAGAGGAAAGCACAUCGGGCGAAGAGGAAGAGGAAGGGCGAAGGAACGAGUCGCCUCCGCGUUGCAUGGAUCCCGAUUCGACACCCUUAAAUCCUCAUCUAUUGUCUCCCUGGCAAGAGGUCAGGAAACGCUCUCUACCGACUCCGCAAUGUACUUCCGGGAUAACCGCAUCACAGGUACUGUCUGAUGGUCAUAUCUAGAAGAACAUACUUGCUUACGGGCCACAUCCCCUUUCUUGAUAAUGUACUUUUAGUGUAUCCUGUUAGCUUAACAAAACAUAACGUUGUCCAACGUUUGCAUAUGUUGGGAAUAUGAUACAUUUACACUGUACAUGUGAAUGUGUGUGUAAGCGUCAGAGGACGUCCGGGUCUUGGUUGAGACAAAAGACAAGAGCCAGUCGUUAG